UGGCUCUCGCAUCGAUGAAGAACGCAGCGAAAUGCGAUAAGUAAUGUGAAUUGCAGAAUUCAGUGAAUCAUCGAAUCUUUGAACGCACCUUGCGCUCCUUGGUAUUCCGAGGAGCAUGCCUGUUUGAGUGUCUUGAAGUCAUCAACCCCUCCCGUUUUUCGAAGCGGGGGACGGUUGGAGCUGGGGGUUUGCCGCCUCUCGGGGCCGCUCCCCUCAAAUGCUUCGGUUGGGCCUGUGGGUCGAACUCGACUGGGCGUUGUACCAUCCUCGCUCUACCCGAGACGUUCCCCUCGAGCGCCCGGCCUCGACCUGCCGAACGAGCGGCGGUCAAAGGAAACUUCUUCGAUAUCUGACCUCAAAUCAGGUAGGACUACCCGCUGA
This 381-nucleotide unclassified non-coding RNA is filed under the name uncultured fungus. Its description in RNAcentral is "partial contains 5.8S ribosomal RNA and internal transcribed spacer 2". The stretch from base 1 to 133 matches the Rfam family "5.8S ribosomal RNA", at positions 22 to 154 of the family's 154-position model. The record is from RNAcentral. Lineage: Eukaryota; Fungi.